RNAcentral lists this ribosomal RNA (253 nucleotides) under uncultured bacterium. RNAcentral's name for it is "partial 16S ribosomal RNA". It matches the Rfam family "Bacterial small subunit ribosomal RNA", at positions 524 to 776 of the family's 1533-position model. The record is from RNAcentral.
GACAGAGGGUGCAAACGUUGUUCGGAAUUACUGGGCGUAAAGCGUGUGUAGGCGGUCCUCUAAGUCGAGUGUGAAAGCCCUGGGCUCAACCCAGGAAGUGCACUCGAAACUGGAGGGCUAGAGUAUCGGAGAGGUUGGUGGAAUUCUCGGUGUAGAGGUGAAAUUCGUAGAUAUCGAGAGGAACACCGGUGGCGAAGGCGGCCAACUGGACGAAUACUGACGCUGAGACACGAAAGCGUGGGGAGCAAACAGG